UAGAUGUGUGGAGUGAUUCAGUUUCCCCUCUUCCUGAGCAGGGUUUUCACAGGAAUCCACUCCAAACCACUGCUUGAAGAGGGCUAUCUCAAGUCUACUAAAGGAGAGAAAAGAAAAUUCCUUGCAAAAUGAAGAGCCAUGAUAAAAUAUGGGGUGAUCCUAUUACCAAGACCAGUGCAUAUGCUGGUGGCAUUUCCUCAGCAAAUAAGAUCUUAUCAUGGCCUUGAAAUGUUGCAGCAGCCUUGGAAGAAUUUUAGGAAUGUCCCCAAGGAAGCAAUGAAUUUCUGAUUUGCAUAGAAAGGGACAGAGGUAAGGAGAGAGGAAGAGCCUGCUUAUGCACAUUUAAUUCCUGAUAUUGCUCUCCAGAACUCAAUGGGAAGAGACCUGUGACAUGAAACCUGUACUGCUGAAUGAGGAGCACACCAGAAAUGUGAAUCAUCACAGAUAACAUGAUACUGGAUAGGAAUCUAAAACUCAAGACUGUGAUGAAUGCCAGAGAGAGAGAGAAGUUUCAUCUUGCACUCAAAGGUAGUCAGAAUACUGGAGUAGGGUGCAGUUGGUACAUGAAAGUGACUGUAAUCUUCUGCUAGCUUUAGGAUCCAAUUCUAUGAUAUACAUCAAGUCAAGGGGGUGUUUCUAGGAUGAUGUUCCCUGUCACCAAUAUGCUGGGCAACUUUAAGGCACAUUAGACUGCCAAGAACUUUUAGAGACCAGAGUUCUUUAAGAAGGUAGUUGGUUAGAACUCAGUUCAAAUUACAGUUUAUUGUUUUGUUUUUCUCUCUUCUACUUGCUUCCAACCCUGAAAUUAGGAUUUAAGAUUUUCUUCUUCUUGACUAAGCUUGCACUAAUUUUCCCCAUCAUCUUUCAAGUGCUAGAGUUGAGGCCAAGGGAGGCUGACAAAUUCAGCUCACGUUCUGUCACUGGAGGUAAAGUAUGCAAACACCAGUCUAAUGUUCCCUCCAUAAGUUGCACCCUGACAUGAGACUGAAUGCUCUCAGCCAUGCUGGAAGGGUCAUUGGGGGCCUGGGAUUGCGAAGUGCUGUAUUGAGAAAGUUGUUCCUGGCAGGCACAGAGAACACCCCUUCUUCCAGGAACAGGUAACAAAGAGAGACCCCUCAUAGCAGACCCCCAG
This 1132-nucleotide long non-coding RNA is filed under the name Anas platyrhynchos platyrhynchos (common mallard). Its description in RNAcentral is "lncRNA (ENSAPLG00000026965.1)". Lineage: Eukaryota; Metazoa; Chordata; Aves; Anseriformes; Anatidae. The record is from RNAcentral.